GACGAACGCUGGCGGCGUGCUUAACGCAUGCAAGUCGACCGGAAAGGCCCUGCUUUUGUGGGGUGCUCGAGUGGCGAACGGGUGAGUAACACGUGAGUAACCUGCCCUUGACUUUGGGAUAACUUCAGGAAACUGGGGCUAAUACCGGAUAGGAGCUCCUGCUGCAUGGUGGGGGUUGGAAAGUUUCGGCGGUUGGGGAUGGACUCGCGGCUUAUCAGCUUGUUGGUGGGGUAGUGGCUUACCAAGGCUUUGACGGGUAGCCGGCCUGAGAGGGUGACCGGCCACAUUGGGACUGAGAUACGGCCCAGACUCCUACGGGAGGCAGCAGUGGGGAAUAUUGCACAAUGGGCGGAAGCCUGAUGCAGCAACGCCGCGUGCGGGAUGACGGCCUUCGGGUUGUAAACCGCUUUCGCCUGUGACGAAGCGUGAGUGACGGUAAUGGGUAAAGAAGCACCGGCUAACUACGUG
Molecule: ribosomal RNA, 468 nt
Filed under: uncultured bacterium
Lineage: Bacteria
Description: partial 16S ribosomal RNA
Rfam family: Bacterial small subunit ribosomal RNA
Source: RNAcentral